RNAcentral lists this ribosomal RNA (495 nucleotides) under uncultured bacterium. RNAcentral's name for it is "partial 16S ribosomal RNA". It matches the Rfam family "Bacterial small subunit ribosomal RNA", at positions 28 to 523 of the family's 1533-position model. The record is from RNAcentral.
GAUGAACGCUGGCGGCGUGCUUAACACAUGCAAGUCGAACGAAGCACUUAAGUCAGAUUCUUCGGAUGAAGACUUUUGUGAUUGAGUGGCGGACGGGUGAGUAACGCGUGGGUAACCUGCCUCAUACAGGGGGAUAACAGUUAGAAAUGACUGCUAAUACCGCAUAAGACCACAGCACCGCAUGGUGCAGGGGUAAAAACUCUGGUGGUAUGAGAUGGACCCGCGUCUGAUUAGCUGGUUGGUGGGGUAACGGCCUACCAAGGCGACGAUCAGUAGCCGACCUGAGAGGGUGACCGGCCACAUUGGGACUGAGACACGGCCCAAACUCCUACGGGAGGCAGCAGUGGGGAAUAUUGCACAAUGGGGGAAACCCUGAUGCAGCGACGCCGCGUGAAGGAUGAAGUAUUUCGGUAUGUAAACUUCUAUCAGCAGGGAAGAAAAUGACGGUACCUGACUAAGAAGCCCCGGCUAACUACGUGCCAGCCGCCGCCGUAA